This 428-nucleotide ribosomal RNA is filed under the name uncultured bacterium. RNAcentral describes it as "partial 16S ribosomal RNA". It matches the Rfam family "Bacterial small subunit ribosomal RNA", at positions 354 to 796 of the family's 1533-position model. The record is from RNAcentral.
GUGGGGAAUAUUGGGCAAUGGGCGAAAGCCUGACCCAGCAACGCCGCGUGAGGGAAGAAGGUUUUCGGAUUGUAAACCUCUGUCCUUGGGGACGAAGAAAGUGACGGUACCCAGGGAGGAAGCCCCGGCUAACUACGUGCCAGCAGCCGCGGUAAUACGUAGGGGGCGAGCGUUGUUCGGAAUGACUGGGCGUAAAGGGCGCGUAGGCGGCCGAUUAAGUCUGGAGUGAAAGUCCUGUUUUUAAGGCGGGAAUUGCUUUGGAGACUGGUUGGCUUGAGUGCGGAAGAGGUAAGUGGAAUUCCCAGUGUAGCGGUGAAAUGCGUAGAGAUUGGGAGGAACACCAGUGGCGAAGGCGACUUACUGGGCCGUAACUGACGCUGAAGCGCGAAAGCGUGGGGAGCGAACAGGAUUAGAAACCCGGGUAGUCC